AUGGGCUCGUGUGCCUCGCGCUUGCCGGCGUCGGCGGCGGCGGCCGGGUCCGGGCGGGCAGUGGCCACCAAGACGGCGAAGGUGAUUCGUCUGGACGGCUCCAUGGCGCAGUACGCGGCGCCGGUCACGGCACGCGAGGCACUGGUUGACGCCGCCGGCGCGUCGAGCUUCCUAUGCAGCUCGGACGAGCUCCGCUUCGAUGCGCCCGCCCGCGCGCUGGCCGCGGACGAGGCGCUCCAGCCCGGGUGGCUCUACUUCGUGCUGCCCCUGUCUAUGCUCCGUCGGCCGCUCUCGGGGCAGGAGAUGACCGCCCUCGCCGUCAGGGCCAGCUCGGCGCUGGCCGUCGCGAGCGGCAUCUCGUCCCCCACGCGCGGCAAGAACGGAGCCGCGGUGGCUGGCGCCAACGCCAAGCGACGGAAGGUGGCGGCUCGAGUGGCACCUCUCGCUGACGAUGACGAUGUCGCGGAGCGGGACGGUGGAUGGGACCAGCACCUUGCGUACGACAAAUACGGUGGCGUGCGCAAGAGGGUGCUCGCCGCCGGUGAUGAGACGGCUGGGAAGGCGAGGAAGGGGAAUGGUUACGGUGGGAGGCGCAGCAGCCGUCAUCGUCGUCGUCGUGCAGGCGCGCAUAGGUUGAGCGCGAUUUUGGAGGCCGAUGACUUCUGA
Molecule: ribosomal RNA, 666 nt
Filed under: Triticum aestivum (bread wheat)
Lineage: Eukaryota; Viridiplantae; Streptophyta; Magnoliopsida; Poales; Poaceae
Description: partial small subunit ribosomal RNA
Source: RNAcentral